GCGGAAAGCCGCUAGGGUUCCGGCCGGUCCGCAAGGUGAUGCGGGUCCGGCGACUGGUCCGAGAGCGGCGACCUGUCCGGUGAACAGCGGACGGGCACACGGCGGGACAAAAGCCCGGGAGGU
This 123-nucleotide small RNA is filed under the name Azospirillum sp. RNAcentral describes it as "Guanidine-I sequence". It matches the Rfam family "Guanidine-I riboswitch aptamer". From Rfam's summary of the family: This family represents a conserved RNA structure found upstream of the ykkC and yxkD genes in Bacillus subtilis and related genes in other bacteria. The function of this family is unclear although it has been suggested that it may function to switch on efflux pumps and detoxification systems in response to harmful environmental molecules. The record is from RNAcentral. RNAcentral also lists the same sequence under 1 other name. Lineage: Bacteria; Pseudomonadati; Pseudomonadota; Alphaproteobacteria; Rhodospirillales; Azospirillaceae.